AGCCCACCAACCAGGGGCGCGCGGCACUGCGCCCGUGGAGACCAGUGUUCGGAGUAGAUGGGUGUAGCAGCCGAAGAAUGGUGUUUCUUUAUGGGUUUGGCGGGAGAACACCUAUCGCGGCUCGUCCUCGUUAGUAUAGUGGUGAGUAUCCCCGCCUGUCACGCGGGAGACCGGGGUUCGAUUCCCCGACGGGGAGGCUGCGUGAUUGUUUUAACUCACUCCAACACACACACAAGAUAUUUGGGGCAUCUUCUCCAAAAUGAUACGACUAUGAUAGACAGAUAUGCGUGGAAGCGUGUAAAUUUGGUUUUCGGAAUAUGUCCAUUUCCUCAAGAAGAGAGUGGAGGAUGCUGUAUACUCAGCCACGAGCACUAUAGGCUCCCUUCUGUGUAAGAAUAAAUAUACGUAGUGAGUAUAUUCGUAUUUAUGACCGGAUUACAGCAACAACUAGAGCGAACUAGCUCCCAUCAUGCACCAGGCAGUAUUCGUAAGCGCUUUACAGGUGUGCACCCACAAUAAGCCUCGGAGGGGCUAUUUUAUCACAUCAGACAGAUGAAAUGCAGGCACAGAGCGUGGAUCCAGUAACUUGUCCGAGGUCACAUGAAUCAGUCUGGUCUAGACCCUGGUUACUUCCGGGCAGAAGGACUGGGAUAAGGUGGGAGUGACUCUGCCUUUCCGUUCGGUAGUUUUCUGGACUGUUUGAAUUUUAUUUUAUUUUAUUUUCGCUCUCCUUCCCUUCCUUCCUUCAUUUCUUCCUUACUCGAUUUUUAUCACAUUGGUACACUUAGUUUUUCAAGAACUACUGCGCUUUUGUGAAAAGCAGCAGUAGGGUCCCCUGCUGUAUUGCUCCUGAAGGAAUUUAGGACAUCCCGUUUUGGUGUACUGUUUCUUUUGAGCUGUCAGUACCUCACUGGUCUCCUUGCUGCCACUUGAGCCCCUCCUGUCCAUUCUCCACACAGCAGUCAAGGGAGACUUUAAGAGGUAAAUCAUAUCACUCACUCCCCAGCAGCUUUCCAACACAAGAGAAAGUACAAACCCUUCACCGUGGCUUUCAAGGCCGGCACGAUCUGGUCUCUGCCCACCUCUUUGUCCUCGCCUCCUAUCUUCUGUCCCCUCACCCUCUUCACCGCUUCCAUGCUGACUUUCUUUCCAUUCAUAUAACUAGCCGGACUCUGUUUCAGCCUCAGGGCCUUUGCAUCAGCUGUUGCCUCUGUUCCAGAGGCUCUUCCCCCCGCGGGCUCUUCAUUCUCCAAGUCUUCUCAGCACUCUCUCCUUCUCUUACUGCCCCAUCCCAGGUGUUCCAUCCCAUCACUACCAUUUAUUUUGCUUCUUAGCAUUGCUAUUAAGACGAACUAUUUUGUUACUGUAUUUGUGACUGGGUUACAGGGUCAUUAGGUGCUUAGCAAACGCUUAUUAAAUGACUUCACAUCAUGAAGGACGUCCACGCUUGUUCAUCCUGUCCCAGACAACACUCCCCAGCCACCCAUCUCCCAAAGGGCAGGGAAGCAGAGAGAGCCAACCUGGAUGCCGACCUGUUGAUUUCCUCAUGCCUUGAAGCUGAGCAGUUGCCACAGGUGGGGUGGCCAUGCUUGGAGGCCGGAUCUCAGUCACUGCCCCAAGGAAAGCCCAUACGGCCUCCCACAUGCCCUGGCGUGGUCAGCAUCCCUACCGUGCCUUGGGCUGCUCGGUGAGCUGCACCCAAGGGGAGACCUUGUUCAGUUGCACAGAGAAGGGAGCCUGAGAAAGCGGAGCUCUGAGCCAGGAAAAGAUGAAAUAUUUAACCUUUUGGAACAUGUGACUAUUUAGGGAACGCUGAAUGUACCUUUAAGAGGAGAGCCGAAAGGCGAUUUACAGAGCUCGUCCUCGUUAGUAUAGUGACACCAUGGACUUGAUUAUAACGGGUAUUACUCCUCCGGUCACUACUUGGAAGUGGGAUUUUCACAAUAGGUGGGAUCUGCCCUUCUUGAAGUCCCUAACACUCCAAAUGUAAUUUUAUUAGAAGAGGCAAAGGGAAGCAGUUACAAGAAACAUGUAAAGGCAAAACCUGACACGAUGACUGAAACCACGGAAAAAGUGAGAAUGAUCAUUUAGGGAAGGUACCCAAGGCUUCCUGGCAUUGUGACUGCAGUCAAAGGCCUGGAGGCCUGGCGACUCAUUCCCGGCCAUCAGACGGCAAGCGUGGGCGUCAUUCAAAGGUCUGAGCGUCCGUGCGGGCCCUUGCCCUUCACUUGUGCUCUCAAUGACUCCCUCUGAAAAUGAAGCCAUUUUCGGAGAGAGCCACCCAGAAGGAAACCAGCAGACACGGCAGGCGGGACCGUGCUUCCCGCUUCCUCAGCGACAGGCCACGUAUGAACGCACGAAUGGCUGUGGCGCACAUACUGUUUAAACCUAUGUUUAUACACUGUACUUUAUCAUUAAAAAUAAAAGCUAUUUUA
Molecule: long non-coding RNA, 2435 nt
Organism: Aethalodelphis obliquidens (Pacific white-sided dolphin)
Lineage: Eukaryota; Metazoa; Chordata; Mammalia; Artiodactyla; Delphinidae
Exons: 3
Source: RefSeq, a predicted model, not a curated record